AUGCCCUCUAUUUAUAUUAACAUUACAUUACCUUUUAUUAUGUCUUUAAUAGGGGUAAUAAUCUAUCGAUCCCACCUGAUAUCGUCCCUAUUAUGCCUAGAAGGCAUAAUACUAUCAACAUUUAUCAUAAGUACUCUCAUAACUUUAAACAUACAUUUUACACUAGCAUCCAUAAUACCUAUUAUCCUUUUAGUUUUGGUAGCCUGUGAAGCCGCUGUAGGUUUAGUCUUACUGGUUAUGUCCUCCAGUACCUAUGGUCUAGAUUAUGUA
This 270-nucleotide long non-coding RNA is filed under the name Homo sapiens (human). RNAcentral's name for it is "non-protein coding lnc-OPRM1-8:1". The record is from RNAcentral. Lineage: Eukaryota; Metazoa; Chordata; Mammalia; Primates; Hominidae.